Molecule: non-coding RNA, 1746 nt
Organism: Lolium perenne
Lineage: Eukaryota; Viridiplantae; Streptophyta; Magnoliopsida; Poales; Poaceae
Source: RefSeq, a predicted model, not a curated record
CCCUUCUUCUCCCCCAGCGGCAGUCAUGGUGGCUCGGUGGCAGCCCCGCAGCAUCGAUGGGAGAAAUCCCAUGGGAAUUAUCGAUGGUGAAAGCCUCGUUGCCCAGGCUUCCUGCUUCGAUCUGCCCCACUGUCCUUUCAUGGGCCUCAAUCUGCCCCACAAUAUCAUCAACAAGCCAACGUCAUUAAAGUACAUCACGGCCUCUUUCUGGAGCAAUCGAUCGACCACUCUUCUUCCUGGGAUAAAGUAGCGGCCAAUGGAUCCAUCUGUGAGCGGCCACAGCCGUCGUUCCUUCCGGCAAGGUGAGACGUCAAGCAGGAAAUAUCUUGGUCAUUUUACACUUGCAUUGUACGACAUGGAGGUCAAGAGGAUGUAUCCGCCUCUCCUAGGUCCAGGACAUGCCUAUACACGUAGCAGCAGUGACAGUCCAUCAGUUUCUUUCUUUUCUUCAAGAGGUUCAGUUUAUUUACAUAACUAUUUUUUGUGGCCCUUCUACAAGGAGAUUACAUCUGAGUCUUUUUUUCUUCCAUUGAGGUCUGGUGCUUGGGUAAUAUACGGGUUUAUUGCUUGUGGGGUUAACAUGCUAUAUAAAUUCAGAGCUUUAAACUAAUCUUGUGGUGAGUUCUUAUUGUAGGAUGCUAUUGCGUGGUCUUUUCUGCCCAGGUAACUAGAAUGUUUUCUAUUUUAAUUUAUCUUGAUUACUUGUUGAUGAAGUGAAGUGAUCUAAUCAGACAAUUCAAUUGACCAACGGGACGAUUCCCUCAAGUGAGGAUUUGAGAUGAUAAUUGAGAUGUAGAUGACAAAGGUUUUCACUAGGUAACGGUAUUUUUGUUUAUAAGAGGUAAUGAUAUCAUGCAUUCAUGGACGAAAGUCUGGAUUAAUUAUGCUUAGGAGGCGGCGGUAUAGUGUUGUCUCUUAAUUAAUAUAGGCGGAUGAUGAAUUUGAUCUGCUCCGGUCAGAGUCCGACUGGAUACAUACUAUAAUAUAGCAAUGUGCAAAUACAUGAUUGAUGAUUGUCACUUUAAGUUCUUUCGCGAAGUCCAAUUGAUGAUGAUUAUUACUGCAAGGAUACAACCACAGAGGGAGUAUUAUCGCAGGUCACAGGUCGCGCUCCGGUCAGAGUCCGACUGGAUACAUACUGUAAUAUAGCUCUGAGGACGGCUGGAUCAGUGAGCUAAACUAAUCAUUAAUCAUUUUUUGCAUCUUCUUCUUAUUUUGUUUCCUUCUCUGUCCCGCUUUUCUUCUCCUUGCACCCUAAAUCAGUAUAUUAGGUUCAUAAGAAAUCAAAUAUUUCUCUGACUUGCAUUGUUCAACUUUCUAUUGCCGUUCCAAUGUUUGUCUUUUCUUCUCUAUAGUAAGAAGUUGUACCUGUCUGCAGGUCAAAGAGAAAAUAUGCAGAUUUUGCCUCUAGGAUGUAUCGUGCCGAUGCAAUUACUGGGAAGUUCUUGUGGGAAUUGCACACAUCUAGGGAUAUAGGGAUCAAGACGUUGUAAAACUCACAUGAGUUGGACUUAUUUUGUUCUUGAGCGUGAGAUGAUUACAUGUGUACCCCGGAUCUGGUUGAGAUAAUGUCCAUCACUCUCCUCUGUAGGCGUGUAGCGCUAGGUUGCGGGCCUGCCGCUAACCCAGAGAGGAACGUGGUUGUUGCUGCUGCUUGAGGACUCCACUGAAAAAUAGAAGAGAAGAUGAAGAGAAGAGAAGAGAAAGGCCUGCAGAUCUUGAUGGAGAUCAUAAAAAAUUGUUCUG